RNAcentral lists this long non-coding RNA (725 nucleotides) under Ricinus communis (castor bean). RNAcentral's name for it is "long non-coding RNA (RCOM_LNC002248)". Lineage: Eukaryota; Viridiplantae; Streptophyta; Magnoliopsida; Malpighiales; Euphorbiaceae. The record is from RNAcentral.
ACAUAUCAAAUAUUACUACAGCCCUGAUCACAUUCAACUACAUUGCCACUAUCACCAUCGUCACCGCCACCAUUGUCAAUAUUGCCAUCAACAAUAACAAAACCACCAUCCCCAAAAUAACAAUACCACCAAACAAUAAGACCAUCAACAAAAUAAAAAAACCUUGCUAGCUGGUCGUAGAUUAUAAGAAAGAGGUUCAUAAUCAUUAACAUCUUCUAGUAAGUAUGAUCAGUGUACAACCAAAAAACUGCAUUCACCAUUAAAGCCACAACUGUAUCCAUAACCAUCUUGUAUUAUUUUGUAAAACAAAUCGAAAAAAACAACCAAAAUAUUAGAGAAUCAAAAAAUAAAACUAAGUUUAACGCUGCUGCUUCAAUCGCCUUCAUAGAGCGUUGCUUCAACUGUUGCCGUUGCAAUCGCAUAGUUGCUUCAGUUGCCAUCGCACGGUUGCUUCAGUCAUCUUCGUUAUCAUUGUCUUGAAUGAGUAAUUAUUGGUAGAAUUAAUUUUGGGUAGAAUUUAUUUAGUUAGGGUUUGAGUUUUAUUUGAUUUUAUCAUUGUAAUGAUUGUGUUAAGGGUGGUGCUAGUGGUGAUGUAAGGGUGGCAGUUGGUGGUGGAACUGAUAGUGGUGGUGAGACUGUCGAAGAUGUCGAAGAUGGUGGUGGUAGGGUGGGGACUAACAGUGGUGGUGAUGAGGGACAUUAGAAUUUUUUUUCUUUAGUUAAAU